Molecule: ribosomal RNA, 258 nt
Filed under: uncultured bacterium
Lineage: Bacteria
Description: partial 16S ribosomal RNA
Rfam family: Bacterial small subunit ribosomal RNA
Source: RNAcentral
UACGUAGGUGGCAAGCGUUGUCCGGAUUUAUUGGGUUUAAAGGGUGCGUAGGCGGCCGCUUAAGUCAGUUGUGAAAUAUCCCGGCUCAACCGGGAGGGUGCGAUUGAUACUGAGCGGCUCGAGUAACAGCGAGGUUGGCGGAAUUGACGGUGUAGCGGUGAAAUGCAUAGAUAUCGUCAAGAACACCGAUAGCGGAGGCAGCCAACUAGGGGUUAAACUGACGCGUGAGGCAACGAAAAGUGCGGGGGAUCAAACAGG